Molecule: non-coding RNA, 725 nt
Organism: Kogia breviceps (pygmy sperm whale)
Lineage: Eukaryota; Metazoa; Chordata; Mammalia; Artiodactyla; Physeteridae
Source: RefSeq, a predicted model, not a curated record
UACAACUCCUCGAUUGUCAGAACUUUUCUCUACAUAAAAAGUGAUGAGAAUGAUCUAAGCCGCCCCAUUCUAGCAGGAAAUCUCCAUCCUUCUAUCCAGUGACAAUAGCAAUCCGGGGAAUUCUGAAGUUUUCCAGAUUAACUACCUACACAAUUGAAAAGGCUCUGCAAGGGGGAGGGGAGACAGGAGGGUGAAGGCCCUCCGCUCUUCACCUGAGUCUUUUGAAACAAUACUGCCAGGCCCGCAGGACCCAGGUCUCUAUGAAGCAGCCCUCACACCUCGGAAGAAUAAGUGAAAUCAUUCCGAGUUGGACAUUCUCACCCACGCCUAACCCAGUAAAGCAGUGUUCACCACGAAAACUUCUCACAUAUUAGAAUCGCCUGGGGAACUGCUGAAACUCUCGACGCCCAGACCAGCGUUCACGUCGAGUAACCACAGUCUCUGGGGGCAGGACCCAGGCAUCGGUACAUCGCAGAACUCCCGCAUGAGAUUCCAGCGCACAGUCACGUUUACAAACCGGUGUUCUCCGAGUCCGCUUCCCUUCAUCCUGUACACCUGGCCGGCUGCACUUCCCUCUCUCAAAGCCCACCAUCUCCUCUCCCAGCACCCUGUGCCAAGGGGCAACAUGUAAUUUAUAUGCCUUCUAAAUGUCCUUAUAACAGAACCCAUACAAGACCGCUCAAGUAGAGUGACUGGGUGAGUGAGUGAGUGAGUGUGUGUGAGUG